This is a long non-coding RNA of Rosa rugosa (rugosa rose), 2925 nucleotides long. RefSeq lists it as uncharacterized. The transcript has 9 exons. NCBI's taxonomy places the organism in Eukaryota, Viridiplantae, Streptophyta, Magnoliopsida, Rosales, Rosaceae. The record is from RefSeq and is a predicted model, not a curated record.
AGGGAAUCAGUUUGGAUAUCUCUGUUACUCUGUAGCCUAUCUCCAAUUUCUGUGGGUUUUAAAUCUUGGUUGAACUCAUACAAUCUCAAUGAAAUUGGCCCUUUGGAGGGGAUUCAGUUUGGAUAGCUCUGUUACUCUGUAGCCUGUGUUUGCAAUUUUCUAUGGGUUUUUCAAUCUUGGUUGAACUCAGUACAACAUCGCAGUAUACACAUGAUAUGGCAAUACGUGAAAAGAGAUGAAAGAUUGAAAGAAACCCAAAAACAGUAACCAUUGUAAAAAAUUAGGAAGGUUCUCAUCAUUGAGAGUGGAUGAGAUUGACAAUGACCUACAUAUGAUGGAAACUGGAAAUUUCUAAGCCAAAAGAGAAAACCGGUUUUCCAAAUGGUUAAAUUAGUUCGAUUUUAGUCAAAUUCAUCUGCAUAUGUCAAUUUGGUUUUGCACGACUUGGGAAAGUUGAAGACUUUUCCUGGUUUACUUGCUUCCCUUAACCAUUAGGAAUUAGUCUUGGACUUUCCCAUUGGGAAUUGAACUGUCCAUAAUGUUUUUACAGAAAACACAAGACUGGACUAUCAAUAUGUUCUUCAACUAUGAAAGGCACAAUUUCGUAGUACAAUUAAAUUUUUGCAUAUGAUUUGGAAUUUCGGUUUUUCAGAUAUAUGAUAGCUUUAGAGAACUGAGAAGAAACAUCUGGUUUUUUUAGUUUCUCACCAUGGUUACUUGAAUACCUAUUAAAACUGCAAAUAGUUCCUGCUUUAUUUGGUCGAAUCAAAUUUAUGCUUCACAUUUCCCCCAUUUUCUUGGUUCUGUGUACAUCUCCCAGUUUCAAAAUUCUGGCCAAAAUCUAUAAUCUUUAACACUUUUAAGGACCUCCAUUCCUUUGAUUCUUUCUUUCUUUCUCAUGUUCCUUACUGUGUACUAUUCUUUAGGUAAUUACCUUGUGAAACAAUGCAUGCCAAGUUGUCUACUAAAGUUUACCCCUUUGAGCAAUUUCACAAAGAGAAGACAAGCUGCCAUUGUGUAUACACAUAUAUGUAUCUCCUUUAUAUUCCACUAAUAACAGAAAAAUGAUAGAAAAAAAUAGUCAUGUUCAGUAUUUAUGGUGUACUGAUGAAAUUUCUGUCUGUCAUUGUUUGAUGACAGACUAACAGAUUGAAAAAUUAAAAGUGGUGCAAUCUAAGCUCUACUUGAGGAGAAAUGGGUUCAGACUGACUGGCAAUAUGGACAAGCUCAUUCAACAGAUUAAGGAGCAUUUAGAUUCUAGGGAUUUUGAAUGGUGGAGGUGAGAGGUGAGAAAAAAGAGAGGAGAAAGUUGAUACAAGCAAGAAAGAAACUCCCCUAAUUGACAAGAAAGUUGACAAGGAGCUACUGCAGGUUCUUCGCCAGGAAUCAAGUCGGCCACAUUAGGGUUGAAGAUAUGAGAUUGAUAAUCCAAAACUUGGGAAAUUUUCUCUCACACAAGGAUGUCAAGGUAACAAACAACCAUUGUAUUCAAUCUCCAAGCUAGUCAGCCUCAUACACCGAGAUGAUGCUACCAGACACUACCUUGGAUGGCCAUAUAAGCCUUUCCACUUGCCAGAGAAUGUUAAAAGUCACCAGUGUCACCAUACUGCAGAAGUUUCAGCUCUUGAAGCUGAAUGGAAUGCCAAGUUUGCUGAAUAUGAGAAGAGGUAUGCAGAGGAAGCUUUAGAGCUGAAGUCCAUCAUCACUGGUGAGCUACCCGCUGGUUGGGAAAAGGCACUCCUGACUUACACUCUAGGAGUCCUAGCUGUCCGUGAUUGAGCUUAAAGGAUUAGACCAAUUGACGUGGAAUUGGCAAGAUUUUAGUACUUUUGCCGGGAUUUUCUUUUUUGAAUCGUCUCCCACAAUGUCUUGACCAUCAGCCUAAGCCCUUACUCUAUACUAAAACCCAAAGGGGAAAUCACUAUUCAUUCCGCAAGAGGACAAACAAAAAGAAUAGUGCACUGACCCUUCUACCCUUCUUGCCUACUUUUACGGAUAUAUCCCUCCAGCUGUUCAAUUCCUGUGACACCGACUGGUCAGCGGUGUGGCACUGCGUCUUUGCUCCACAGAAGACAGUGUGUGAGAGAGAGUGAGAGUGAGGGGAAACUUCUUUCAUAUUGCAAGAUCAGCAAGAUCCAAUAAACUGGUUGAUGUGAUUCCUCUACUAAUUAUAGCAAGCUUCAGAGUAACUGUUGUUAUAGAAGACGCGUCUGAUGAGGGCACUGUUAUUAUAAUGAGAAAACAAGAGCUUUUUGGAACUGCAUGCAGGGAUCUCAUCCUGAAGAAAAACUAUAAAGAUCCAUAAAUACUGCCACCAGAAAUCUUGCAAACAAGGGCAGAUUAAACUGCUGAACCUUAAACCAGGGACUGCACAAAACUUCAUCGUGAAAGGGGUAUUCCAUGACACUCAGCCGUUCCCUCCACCAGAGGAAAGUGGUCCUUCAAGUUCAACACCAGACCAAGUUUCAACAAUGAAAAAAAGGAACUUCCACUCAGUGAGGAAGCAGCUGUUCACGUCAGUGCCUAACAAAAGUACAAAUAGUGACAGCCCCUCAGAUGAGAACGACGCAACAGACAUGACGGAAUCAACUGAAGACACAUCAAGAGGAGUUGAUGCAAAUAGUUGGUUCUAACUACAAACAUAACACUUGCUAGGCCUAACCAUUUUUUAAAAUAUGUACAUAAAAACCUACUUUGGUUUGCAUAUCUGGUUAACAUAUCAGAUUUUGGAACCUGAAGAGGAUAUUUUAGUUAUUUAUUUAAUGUUUCGGACGUUUGAAAUUGAUAUAGUUAGACACUUAACACCUGCAGCAUCGCGUAGGGGUUGAUACCUAGUUUACCAUAAUACUUGACUUAGUUCAGUACUAUGACCAGUUGGUUGAGAUACGGAUAUCAGAUUUUGAAAAAUGUAAAACCAUUUGUAGA